This 489-nucleotide ribosomal RNA is filed under the name uncultured bacterium. Its description in RNAcentral is "partial 16S ribosomal RNA". It matches the Rfam family "Bacterial small subunit ribosomal RNA", at positions 29 to 504 of the family's 1533-position model. The record is from RNAcentral.
AGUGAACGCUGGCGGUAGGCCUAACACAUGCAAGUCGAACGGCAGCACAGUAAGAGCUUGCUCUUACGGGUGGCGAGUGUCGGACGGGUGAGGAAUACAUCGGAAUCUACUUUUUCGUGGGGGAUAACGUAGGGAAACUUACGCUAAUACCGCAUACGACCUACGGGUGAAAGCCGGGGAUCUUCGGACCUUGCGCGAUUGAAUGAGCCGAUGUCGGAUUAGCUAGUUGGCGGGGUAAAGGCCCACCAAGGCGACGAUCCGUAGCUGGUCCUAGAGGUUGAUCCGCCACACUGGAAAGGAGGCAAAGUCAGGACUGGACUAGGAGGCAGCGGUGGGGAGUAUGGGACAAUGGGGGAAAGAAUGAUGCAGCAAUACCGCGGGGGUGAAGAAGGCCUUCGGGUUGUAAAGCCAUUUUGUCGGGAAAGAAAAGCAGCAGGUUAAGGCCCCGCUGUUCUGGCGGUAGCCGAAGAAUAAGCACCGGCUAACUUC